RNAcentral lists this ribosomal RNA (468 nucleotides) under uncultured bacterium. Its description in RNAcentral is "partial 16S ribosomal RNA". It matches the Rfam family "Bacterial small subunit ribosomal RNA", at positions 28 to 507 of the family's 1533-position model. The record is from RNAcentral.
GACGAACGCUGGCGGCGUGCUUAACACAUGCAAGUCGAACGGAAAGGCCCUGCUUUUGUGGGGUGCUCGAGUGGCGAACGGGUGAGUAACACGUGAGUAACCUGCCCUUGACUUUGGGAUAACUUCAGGAAACUGGGGCUAAUACCGGAUAGGAGCUCCUGCUGCAUGGUGGGGGUUGGAAAGUUUCGGCGGUUGGGGAUGGACUCGCGGCUUAUCAGCUUGUUGGUGGGGUAGUGGCUUACCAAGGCUUUGACGGGUAGCCGGCCUGAGAGGGGGACCGGCGACAUUGGGACUGAGAUACGGCCCAGACGCCUACGGGAGGCAGCAGUGGGGAAUAUUGCACAAUGGGCGGAAGCCUGAUGCAGCAACGCCGCGUGCGGGAUGACGGCCUUCGGGUUGUAAACCGCUUUCGCCUGUGACGAAGCGUGAGUGACGGUAAUGGGUAAAGAAGCACCGGCUAACUACGUG